AACCUGGUUGAUCCUGCCAGUAACAAUAUGCCUUGUCUCAAAGAUUAAGUGCAACAGUCCUAAAAGUGCACACGGAAGGUACAGUGAAACUGCGAAUGGCUCAUUAAAUCAGUUAUGGUUCCUUUGAUCGCUCCACACGUUACUCGGAUAACUGUGGUAAUUCCAGAGCUAAUACAUGCAAACGAGCGCUGACCGGUCCUCUCUUGGGGGGGGGGCGGGAUGCGUGCAUUUAUCAGACCCAAAACCCACCCGUCCUCUGGCGCCCCCCGGAUGCCCUUGGUUGGGUGGUCCGGUCCUCGGGGUCCGCGAAGCGUUUACUUUGAAAAAAUCAGAGUGUUCAAAGCGGGCACCAAACUCGCCUGAAUGCCUGACUAAGGAAUAAGGGAAUAGGACUCCGGUUCUAUUUUGUGGGUUUCCUGAACCAGGGCCAUGAAUUAAGAGGGACGGCGGGGGCAUUCGUAUUGCGCCGCUAGAGGUGAAAUUCUUGGACCGGCGCAAGAACGGACCCGAAAGCAAAAGCAUUUGCCAAGAAUGUUUUCAUUAAUCAAGAACGAAAGUCGGAGGUUCGAAGACGAUCAGAUACCGUCGUAGUUCCGACGUAAACUAUGCGAACCCGCGAUCCGGCGGCGUUAUGCCCAUGACCCGCCGGGCACGUGCGGUGAAACCAGAGUCUUUGGGUAUGGGGGGCGUAUGGUUGCAAAACUGAAAACUUAAAGGAAUUGACGGAAGGGCACCACCAGGAGUGGAGCCUGCGGCUUAAUUGACUCAACACGGGAACCUCACCCGGCCCGGACCGGAAAGGAUUGACAGACUGAUGGCUCUUUCUUGAUUCUGUGGGUGUGUGCAUGCCGUUCCUUAAGUUGGUGGAUGAUUUGGUCUGUUAUUCCGAUAAUGAACGAAUUCCUUAGUGCUAAAUAGUUACGCGGCCCCCCGCGGUCGCGGUUAACUUCUUAGAGGGACCAGUGGCGUAUAGCCACGCAAGAUGAGCAAAACAGGUCUGUGAUGCCCUUAGAUGUCCGGGGCUGCACGCGCGCCACAAUGGCCGGGCCAGCGUGUGCCUACCCUACGCCGAGAGGCGCGGGUAAUCCGCUUAAACCCGUUCGUGACUGGGAUUGGGGAUUGCAAUUAUUCCCCAUAAACGAGGAAUCCAGUAAGUGCUCGCGCUGAUUAAGUCCUGCCCUUUGUACACACCGCUCGUCGCUACUACCCGAUGGAUUGGUUAUGUGAGGUCCUCGGAUCGGCCAGCCGGGCUCCUGCGCGGGGCCUUGGUGCUGUGCUGAAAAGUCGAUCGAACUUGAUCAUCUAGAGGAAGUAAAAGUCGUAACAAGGAUUCCGUAGGUGAACCCUGCGGAAGGAUCAUUA
This 1362-nucleotide ribosomal RNA is filed under the name Astyanax mexicanus (Mexican tetra). RNAcentral's name for it is "Eukaryotic small subunit ribosomal RNA". It matches the Rfam family "Eukaryotic small subunit ribosomal RNA". The record is from Rfam by way of RNAcentral. Lineage: Eukaryota; Metazoa; Chordata; Actinopteri; Characiformes; Acestrorhamphidae.